Molecule: ribosomal RNA, 234 nt
Filed under: uncultured Candidatus Saccharibacteria bacterium
Lineage: Bacteria; Candidatus Saccharimonadota
Description: partial 16S ribosomal RNA
Rfam family: Bacterial small subunit ribosomal RNA
Source: RNAcentral
AAGUAGAUAGUGAAAGCGUUCGGCUCAACCGAAUAUCCAUUACCUAAACUGGCAAACUCGAGAAUGGUAGAGGUAACUGGAAUUUCUUGUGUAGGAGUGAAAUCCGUAGAUAUAAGAAGGAACACCAAUGGCGUAGGCAGGUUACUGGACCAUUUCUGACACUGAGGCACGAAAGCGUGGGGAGCGAACCGGAUUAGAUACCCGGGUAGUCCACGCCGUAAACUAUGGAUACUA